RNAcentral lists this ribosomal RNA (253 nucleotides) under uncultured bacterium. Its description in RNAcentral is "partial 16S ribosomal RNA". It matches the Rfam family "Bacterial small subunit ribosomal RNA", at positions 524 to 776 of the family's 1533-position model. The record is from RNAcentral.
UACGUAGGGUGCAAGCGUUGUCCGGAAUUAUUGGGCGUAAAGAGCUCGUAGGCGGCUUGUUGCGUCGGUUGUGAAAGCCCGGGGCUUAACCCCGGGUCUGCAGUCGAUACGGGCAGGCUAGAGUGUGGUAGGGGAGAUCGGAAUUCCUGGUGUAGCGGUGAAAUGCGCAGAUAUCAGGAGGAACACCGGUGGCGAAGGCGGGUCUCUGGGCCGAUACUGACGCUGAGGAGCGAAAGCGUGGGGAGCGAACAGG